This 468-nucleotide ribosomal RNA is filed under the name uncultured bacterium. Its description in RNAcentral is "partial 16S ribosomal RNA". It matches the Rfam family "Bacterial small subunit ribosomal RNA", at positions 28 to 507 of the family's 1533-position model. The record is from RNAcentral.
GACGAACGCUGGCGGCGUGCUUAACACAUGCAAGUCGAACGGAAAGGCCCUGCUUUUGUGGGGUGCUCGAGUGGCGAACGGGUGAGUAACACGUGAGUAACCUGCCCUUGACUUUGGGAUAACUUCAGGAAACUGGGGCUAAUACCGGAUAGGAGCUCCUGCUGCAUGGUGGGGGUUGGAAAGUUUCGGCGGUUGGGGAUGGACUCGCGGCUUAUCAGCUUGUUGGUGGGGUAGUGGCUUACCCAGGCGUUGACGGGUAGCCGGCCUGAGAGGGUGACCGGCCACAUGGGGACUGAGAUACGGCCCAGACUCCUACGGGAGGCAGCAGUGGGGAAUAUUGCACAAUGGGCGGAAGCCUGAUGCAGCAACGCCGCGUGCGGGAUGACGGCCUUCGGGUUGUAAACCGCUUUCGCCUGUGACGAAGCGUGAGUGACGGUAAUGAGUAAAGAAGCACCGGCUAACUACGUG